This is a non-coding RNA of Xyrichtys novacula (pearly razorfish), 3072 nucleotides long. NCBI's taxonomy places the organism in Eukaryota, Metazoa, Chordata, Actinopteri, Labriformes, Labridae. The record is from the annotation of a GenBank genome assembly.
AAACAUUAGUUGGCAAUUCACUGGUCACCAACUUACCAACUGGUUUGAUAUCUAUUGCAGCUGAUUAAUACAUAGCUUGGUUGCAACCCCAAACUAAAGCGUUAACCCGUGCAAUAAUGAUGGACCAAAAGAAGUCUGGGUCCUACUGACUCUCAGAGGACUUGGUGGCUGUUGUGCUCUUCUUAGAGGUCUCUGUACUGGACAAUAUUCAGACAAUGAGUUUUCAUCAGAGGUGAGAGAUGUGGGAGUCAUAGCUUUAGUAUAGGUGAUAGGUCAAUGGAGUCCGUCAGACUCCAUUAACACGUCAUGCUGCGUGCUGUGUGAUGCUGCACUGCUCUGCUCAUGGCAUGUCAAAAACUUAAAUCAACAUUCAACAAACGACAGAAGAGCCGAAGAAAACAGCUAAAUCAUCAUAAAAUGCCACCAAAGAAGCAAAAUCUUGGAGCUGAGAAGGGGUUGGAGGAAAUCAGAAAACCACUUGAUUUCAUGUCGGGCAAACUCAGCAGAGUGGCUGAAAAACUAGACAUGUUUAUGGAUGAGAUAAAACAACUGAAAAGCCUGAUAGAGAAGGGUGAGAAAAUAAAUAACUUGGAAUGGUGAGUCGAAGAUUUGGACCAAUACACAAGAAUGGAGGAUUUGAUUACUAGAAACUUUCCAUAGAUCAUAUACCAGAGCUGCUGCAGGUGGAGGUGGGUAGGACGCCCAACCAGAGGAGCAACAAACACUCAAGCAACAAGUUUUAUAAUUCCUUUAAAACGAACAAUGUGAGUCUUGAGAAUCAUCAUAUUUCAACUUCUUGCGUUUCCAAAAAAAAGGCAAGGUGAAGCCGGCAAAUUUUGUUUGACUCGUUUGAAGCCGCAAGACCAAAGCAGAUCUACUCAAACAAGCAAAGAACCCGAAGGGGACUAGUGUGUAACUAAACGAACAUCUAACAAGAAAGAACACCAAAAUCACCAGACAGGCACGAAACCUGAGAAAAGAAAAAAAGAUACAAGGAACUGUUAAGUAAUGAUAGAACUGUAUGAACACCAGAUGAAGCAGAAGUUACAAUGAUAGGAGAACUCAAGGAAAUGAAACAAUACAAGUAGAAGUGAUCGAGACCAUCAGUGAAGAAUCCCCUUGUGAAAGUGUGAAUGAGGGCUGUUUUGGACAAUGCUCUGCUCAGAGAGCAUUUCUGUGGAUUGUGAAUCAUCCUCCUCCUCAAUCUCCUCCUGCACUGUGGGCAGACCUGUGUAACCCCACAGGGUCUGUUGUUAUUGUUUCUCUCUCUGUCGUCAUCGACUGCUCAUCAUCAUUAAAGAUGAGUGGGCGAGCGGGGGCUUGCAUGGGUGGGACUUCAGGGCUUCUGGUAGACCAGGUAGCCUUGACAGACAAGCCACUGACUAAGCCUAUCAAUCGUCACCUCUGCGACUCUCUCUGUUGUGUUGUGUGUGUAGUGGCAUGUUUCCAGGCCAGCUGUAGAGUUACCAUAGUUACCGAGGCAAGGUGCAGUAAUAAAUAAAUAAAUAAACAAACGGCAGUUCUCCGGCCCUUUUUUGAUCAGCCCAUCAGAAAAGCUCCUGGUACUCCUGAUGGCCAGUCCACCCCUGCCAACAUUGACACAGCGACCCCAGACUUUGGUCUACAGUUACACACAACAGCAUAAUUCCUGUUUAUGUUUCUUUGCACAAGCCCUUAGUGUGUUUGGGCUAGAUUACGGAUUUUCCUGACUCCCUUUAUAGCUCUUAAAGCACUGUGUCAGUGAAUGGGAUGACAAGUGAAGAAAAGUUAAUGUGUUUGUGGAUCAAAGUGAAACGACAACCAUAGACUCUCAUGUGUGUUUGGUUAUUUUAGUCUAUUCAUACUUUGAAACUCCUGUUCCCUUUUUUCUACUACCAAACUCCGUGAGCUUUUCUAAGCUCACCUGUGCUUCUUACCUGCUCCACGUUAAAAGCAUGUUGACUUGACACUUCUGAGAACUUCGUCUGUUGUUUGAUUGACAUCUCUGACUCUCUUGUCAACUUUCUGUGCACGCGUCAGGGCGAAAAAUAAAAAUCCCACCAGUCAGUUGUACACUGACUCCAGAGAGCUCACGACACUCCCAGAGGAGCUGCACUCAUGUUAUGAAGUAAACAUGAGAAGGAUUAGACCUUAUGAAGUGAUUUUAGGGUCAACCAAAGGCACGUUCUAAUUUUUUUUUUCACACACUAGUCUGUGUACUCUAUUUUAGCAGCUAAAGGUGGGUUCAGUUUUGCAAACGCAACUCAUUUCUACACUGGUCUAUUCAAGAAAAAUACAUGUCUAAGCUCUCCAGUUAGAAAACAAUGCAUUUUUAAAGUGACGUGUUGACAGCUUUAUUUUGUUCAAGUAAUCCAUCAUUGUGUAGCAUUCAAGACAGCUGAUGAAACAACACCGGUCAGAGGAGCUCAGAAAUCAUGAUGCCAUAAUAGCUUUGGACGUGUGUGUGUGUGUGUGUGCACGUGCGUGUGUGUGUGUUUAACAUCGAGCUUUGUCAGUUGUGCACGUGAAAAAGCCUUCCAACUCCUCCUCUUUAAGCUCAUUUGUCCUCAUCUGUCCAAUGUUUCCUGUGUCUCCUUCUCUUGUUCACUUGGUCGACUCAAAUCAGAUUCACUGUCAUUACACACAUUCACACACGCACGUGCACAUGCACAUGCACGCACACAGUGUUGACUGUCCGCACUGUGUUACUGUCUCUUUUGGUCACUUCAAUCAAAUGAGGGGAAACAUUUUCCUCCUUGUCAGUGUUGCAACAUGAUCUCAUGGGACCACAAAACACACACACACGCACACGGACAGUGUGUCUCCCCCUUUGUCCCAGGUUAACUUAGCCUACAUCUAUCAGUCAUCCAUCAGCACACCCACAUUGUACAGAAGGAUAGAGGAGGUCAUGAAUGUUUAACCCUCCAUUACAUGAAGCAUGUUUUACCGUCCACACACACCCUGCUGCAGUCAUGGCGUGAUGAGUGAGCCUCAAUUUGUUGUUGUUGCUGUUUUCAGGUUGAUGAAAAGUCAAUGGGGACAUGGCGGAGGCAGUGGAGAGUGAGGGGCGCCUUUAAUUUCACCCCUCUGCUC